UUUCAGAUCCAACUUAGAAAUAAUGUUUCACUCAAGAUAAGGCUUGUGGUUUAGGAGAUUCUGGUCUGGCUUGCUUCAUUUUAAGACUUCUAUCAUCUCUUUUCAAAACCUGAGGAGGACCUCAUUUCCUGUUUGAUAGUUCCUCAUGCUUUGCCAGCCUCCGGGUCUUUAGGGAAGCUUGCCAAGAGUUCCCGACUGGGAAGGACAAGCUGAGUUCAUCACAGAGAAUGAGCUGGCACCACAGUUGUAGUGACUCACCAACCUGGUUGCCCACUUUGCAAUGGCAAGAACCACACCAUUUAGUUGAAAGACCUGUGCUUUAGUGAAGUGCAUUUGGAUCGCAUGGCAAAAUCAUCUCCGAUCUUCCCUUUCACUGGCUGUCUUGAGAACAAGACAAAAAAGGAAAUUACACCCUGAGUUAUAUUUUGUUUCUUAAAAAUUAAGAUUAAUUAACAGAUACUUGGCUUUUAUGUCCAUUCUGUUCUAAGAAUUUAGUGGUGAUUACAAAACGGUGAAAAUAGGUCACAGCAAAAUGAACAUUCAAGAUUAGGUUAAAACACACCUCUGAAAUUUGAAAUGAAUCAGUAUUCAUUUUUGGAGUGUCAGUUACUACAUUUCUGUAAUUCAUCAUUUUUUUUUUCUUGGCUUAGAGUCAGGAUGAGAAAUAAUAUUUAGACCAAAGACAUCGUUUUGUUAUAUAGUCACUGCUUUUUAAAAUGCAAAUCCACUCUCCCCUCACCCAUGCUUGAUCAUUUAUGCGUUCUUAUGCUCUCGUGCUCCCCCCCACACACACACACAUACACACACACACAGCACCCAGAUGCUGGAGAAAGCCCUUUCAAGACAUCUAGGACCUGGGUCAUGUAAAAGGUAGAUGGGAAAAUUAAAGGAGCUCCAGAGUGGUAGCAACACUAAGAAUCAUUGAUUUCAUUUUAUGUAAAGUCAUUGUAUGGUAUAUAGGUAUUUUUUCUAAGAAAUAUUGUUAUGAUUAACGGAUAUUACACUUAUAAAUGAUUACAAUUGUCAUCUAAUUUCAAGUCACAGGAGGAGCCAUUUAAAGUAUUUUGUGUUACAAUCUGUCACCAAAAAUCAACUGGUAAAGUCUUAAAAUGUGCAUAGGUUUGCCUCAUGGGGAAUUAAAUUUUAAUUUACAAGUCUUUCUAUUGUGGAAACUUAGGACAAGAUAACAUUUGAUAUCAACAAAUUCUAUAUUGUUCUAAUAUGUUCUAUCAACAUAUUCUAUGGCUUUUUUUAGCUUAAAUGGCAUUGCUCUAAAAUUAAGUACACAUUGCAUUUUUUCCUCCCUGUGUUCUUUCGUUACACGUAGAAUAUUUUUACAAUGUUGUUUUUAAUGUACACAUUAUUAAGUCACUUGGUAAAAGAUAAAAUAUACAAUAAUGAUAACAGUCCCUUGCUUUUCUCCUAAUUUUAUUAUUUCAAGUUAAACAAAAAUGGACACUUUUCUCUCAGGGAAAAAAAAUACUGAGUUUAUUUUUGAUGCAAAAAUGAGUAUUUAGUUACAGUAUUUUUCCCUAGUAGAUUAGCAUUUAUGAUGGAUCUUAUUUCAAAGCUGAUUAUUCUCAAAGAAAAGCAGAGUGAUAUUAAAUAUUCCAAGUAAAUUACAUUGUUUAAAAAGUAUUUUAAUGCAUUAUUCAAAUUGUUGUCAGCUAUUGGAAAGAAAAAAAAAAAAAAAACAGUAUCUGUUCCAAAUGUGAAAUUUUGGUGUUUGGAAGACUUUAUAAAUUCCAAUUUCUUUAGGAGAGCAGUAGAAAUCAAUAUCAAAGGCAUAUGCAAUUUAGAACUCCCUCAAUUUUUUUUUUUUUUUUACUUUAACUGUGAUAAGCAUCUCUGCAAGGUAGGUUUUAACAUAUUUUUUCCUAAUUUUUUCCCCUCCUUUCAGUAAGAAGGAUAAGCUUUUAGAGUACCCAGUCACCGUGGUAACUGCCAAAAAAAUUCUCCUGAAGUUUGAAGAGGUCAGCUAGCAGGGUCAACAGCUCUGGCCUCUCUCUGAGCUCGGUCUAGCAUGCCCCAGCCUGUGGUUGGAGUGUCAGACCAGAUCUGACCCUGGGAGGUGGACUAUUCCGGCUCUGAUAUAAAUUUUUUGAGUCAGUUCAUGGCCUGGACUCUCCAGGUGGCCUCCAAAAUCUAUUUUGACCCCCUGACCCUGUCUCACGGAGGCAUAGCAUCCACCCUAAGUAAGGAUUUAGCCAGGAAUGACAGCUUUCCACUGAGUGUUAUUGGGGACAGUAUAAACAGUUUGGAAAGCAAGUAAGGAGGUGUGAGCGCUAGAAAUCAUUAAAAGCACAUUAAAAAACAACUUAAGAAAUCUUUCUUUGUAAAGCAAAGUUUAAAACAUAUAUUGUUACAUAAUUUCUAUAUGAUUUGAAGGAUUUGUUAAAGGAAGAAAAAUUUUGAAUAUAAAACUCAAUAAACCACACAUCUUUAUCCUCUUAAAUACUUUGUUACAAAUAUGCAGAUAAGAGGGACUGACUUGCAACAAAAUAGGCACAGCAGAGAUGCAACAUACACAGAAAGGGAAGCUAGUUAUUAAAAUACAUGAGGAGAUAGAGAGUUUCUAGGAUUGUAAAUACGAAAUUAUGUGCGUGCACCUUGAUAUGUUUAAAAUGGGAAAAUUAGGAAUCCUACAAAACAACAACCAUCUGGAAUGAAGACACACGGGCACUGCGGCACUGCAGGCCAAGUGCCUUGCAACUUUGUAAAACAAAUAGCCAGUAUAACCAUUUGGAUACAAAGGAGAUUAAAAAUUUUAAAUAUGGAAGGUGAGAUGUGAAAGCACAAAAGAAGAAAAAACAAUACGUUAAUAGUGUCUCUGAAUUAACUAUGAUGUUUAAGUUUAAGAUUAUUAAAAGCUUGGAAAAUAAAAAUAAUGUAUAUAAAUCAUCA
This 2904-nucleotide long non-coding RNA is filed under the name Lynx pardinus (Iberian lynx). Lineage: Eukaryota; Metazoa; Chordata; Mammalia; Carnivora; Felidae. The record is from RNAcentral.